Molecule: RNA transcript, 1729 nt
Organism: Cercocebus atys (sooty mangabey)
Lineage: Eukaryota; Metazoa; Chordata; Mammalia; Primates; Cercopithecidae
Gene name: ribonuclease H2 subunit B pseudogene
Exons: 4
Source: RefSeq, a predicted model, not a curated record
AUGCCGGCAGGAACCAAUGGUGGGCACAGUUACGUAUCAGCACAGGGGGGCCACAAGUUUAUGGGUGAACAUGCGCACCCUGGCGGCGGAGCGGCCCAAGCGCUGGCUGAGGGGCCCGCGACCCAGGGCGCGCCGCCCCCGACCCCUGCCGCUCCCACUCCCCGCCGGCAGGGGACGGGAUUUCUCUCUGGGACAGCUGGCCCGCGUUUUGCUGGCCCUGCUUCUGUGAUCCUACUGGGUUGGAACCAGGGAUCCAGUAGGCUCGAAGUGGCCUCAGACGAAUAUUUAGAAGAUGUUUCAAAGAAGGUGAAAAGUGGGCUAAUGUUUGUAAAACUGGUUAACUGGUGUUCAGGAGACGGAGCCAUUUAGUUGUUCGCUAUGUGUCUACAGCAGCUGUUUGAAGUAAAAGUUUUCAACCAUUCUUGGUUUAUAAAUCAAUCAGUUCAAUCAAGAGGCCGUCUCCACUUUGCCACACCUGUGGAUCCUCUAGUUCUGCUGCUCCACUACCUCAUAAAGGCUGAUGAGGAGGGGAAGUUUCAGCCCCUCCCUAUCAAGUUGUGGUGGAUAACGUGUUUGCAAAUUGCAUCUUGUUGCUGAAACUUCCUGAACUUGAGAAGUUACUUCACCGUGUGACAGAGGAAAAAGAAAUAGACAACAAGAAAUGUUACAAGUACAGCGAAAAGAAGACAUUAAAGUGGCUGGAAGAAAAGGUUAAACUACGGCAGCAUUAAAAACCAGUAAUGUGAAUGUCAUUUCCCGGGUACAGUCAACUGCAUUUUUCUCUGGUGACCAAGUUUCCGCUGACAAGGAAGAGGAUUAUAUUCUUUAUGCCCAUGGCCUGAUAUCUGAUUACAUCCCUAAAGAAUUAAGUAAUGACUUAUCUAAAUACUUAAAGCUUCCAGAACCUUCAGCCUCAUUGCCAAAUCCUCCAUCAAAGCAAAUAAGGUUAUCAGAUGAGCCUGUAGAAGCAAAAGAAGAUUACACUAAGUUUAAUACUAAGGAUUUGAAGACUGAAAAGAAAAAUAGCAAAAUGACUGCAGCUCAGAAGGCUUUGGCUAAAGCUGACAAGAGUGGAAUGAAAAGUAUUGAUACCUUUUUUUGGUGUAAAAAAUUAAAAAUGGGAAACGUUUGAAAUUUUGGAAAAAAAAAAAGAGACAGUGUGACCUGAGGUAGUCAGGACCGAGAGUGGACAAGGGCUGGUUGUCUUCUCUCCAGCUGGGCUGACAGUGGGAAGCAUCCCAUGGUACAAGGUGAGUUUGCCAUUUCAAUGGGAGGAAGUCAUCUUCUGCAUCCUCUUGUGAUCUUCUGUGGUAUGUUUUGGAGAAAAUAGCUCAAAUGCAUUUCACACCUAUAAUUUGAUUGCUUGGAAAGGACCCCAGGCCUUGGCAGAGCCAGUGGUGAGAUCCUGUGGUGACGAGCCCGUGGUCCCCUGGGGUCCUGCUUCCGCAGCCCGGCUGACGUGGAAGUGACAGCAUUCACGUUUCUCCCACAUAGAGACACUUGGAUUCCUGUUCUAUUUUAGGCUCAUGGAAGGUUCCAAGGGUGACUGAUAUUCCCCAGCAUGCACAGGGGAUCUCUUUUCCAUCUCCGUCUGUGCUACCAUACUAUCCAUUCUUGUCCCCACUCCGUGAUGUAUUCGUAUUUAUCAAAGGCAGAUUUGCAUUACCGUUUCUAAAAUGCCAUUUCUUUCAACCUAAGUUACCAUCCCCACUCCCUCUGCCACCUUCUG